AUGCCUCUUUUCCUCUUUUGUUUUGUCAGUGAGGAGGAAGCGGAGCUGUGGGCCAAGCACCAAGAUGUGAUUUCAUUGGUGAACCGGCGGUUGUCACAAAAACUUACGACCAAUAUUGAGUUAAACCACCUUUACAACCUCCGAAAAGAAGAAGAGGAAGAAACUGUCAGACGAGAGAGUGCCAUCGCAGAACUGCAGAAAUUAAUGGUGGCCGAAGCCACUGAAUUUAAAGAGAAAAAGGGAGCGCUAGAUACACGGAUUGCAGAUCUUCAAAAGCUACUUGAUAUCAAGAGGGAGGAAUAUGCAAACAAAAGGGAUGAAUAUCACCAAUUGCUUCCACAACUGGACAACCUUAAGAAGAAAAUUGCAGAGCGUAAACAGGUAAGAUGACAAGGCUUUUGGUUAAAUCCUUUGUUUCCAUUUGCUUAACAUACAGUAGGCAUUAUACUGUAUAUACUAGCCUAGUUUUUCAGCCCUUUUUUUAAGACUGAAAAAGCCCCCCUCGGCUUAUACUCGGGUGAGUGUCCUGGUUGGCUUAUAUUUGGGUCAGCUUAUACUCGAUAAUAUAUGGUACAUUUAUUAUUUUUCUCUAUUAUUAUUGGUAUUAUCACAUUUAUUAUUUUUCUCUAUUAUUGUUGCUGCUAUUACAUUUAUUUUACUCUAUUAUUAUUAUUAUUAUUAAUAAUAAUAAUAAUAGUAAUAAUAAUAAUAAUACAUUUAUUAUUUCACUCUGAUCUUAUUAUUAUUAUUGCAUUUAUUAUUUUACUCUAUUAUUACUUAUAUUCCCGUCCCCUUGAUCAGGUCAUGUAAGUGUUAUUUAUUUCUAUAAUUGUAUUAUUUUACUUUGCUUAAUAAUGUGUUAUUAUGUUGUUAUGUAAUGUUGUGUUGUUUUUAUGAUUGGAAACCACCCUGAGUCCCAUCCAGGAGAUAGGGCGGUAUAUAAAUAAAGUUUAUUAUUAUUAUUAUUAUUAUUAUUAUUAUUAUUAUGACACAGCAAACAAGAUAGAUAUGCUGGAUUUCAUAUCACAAAAUCACAAGUUGAACACUUCCCAAGUGUCUAGGACUGUGUGAUGUAUUUUUGGAUGAUGCGUGCAGAUUAUUAUUAUUAUUAUUAUUAUUACAUGUAUUAUUUUACUCUAUUAUUAUUAAAAGGAUACAUAAGCACAUUUACAUUGAAGAAGAUGAGAAUAAUGAUUUGAUCAGAGUUGGACAGUCUUAUCUUAAAUUUGAGCUUUAGGUAAAUAUUCAGAAACAUUAAACCUACUGAUGCCUCAAUUAAUGUAAUUUUAUUGGUAUCUAUUUUUAUUUCUGAAAUUUACCACCCUCGGCUUAUACUGGAGUCAAUGUUUUCCCAGUUUUUUUAUGGUAAAAUUAGGUGCCUCGGCUUAUAUUCAGGUCAGCUUAUACUUGAGUAUAUACGGUAGUUAUUUGACACAAUGGGAACUGCCUUUUCUCUCUGAUUUCCAUUUAGUUUCUCAGCAUGAAGCUAGAGAUCCUCCUUUGAGUGUAGUACUAAAUUGGCUCAGCAAAAACCUAGAUGUGAGCACCAAAACUUGUAAUGCUAUUGGUAAGAAAUCACCGUGGAGUGCUGAGUUCUGACAUGUGUUGCUAGCUUUUAUGAGGCCUUGGAUAGUACUCUAAAGUAGUGAUUUAAUAAGUAUUAUUUUAAAAAAUCUCUACCUUUUGUGUAUGAUAUUUAACCCUGCUGAAUGUGAGUUUUGUUUUUUUUACGUUUGAUAGAUCAUCAGUGAUUUGAGGGCUGAGCUGGGACAGCUUUUCAAAAGAGUUAAAUCUCAAAUACAUGUAUUUGAGCAGAACAAGGCUAAAAAAGAAGAACUCCUCCAAAAGAAGUAAGAAGACUUACUAAUUUUUUAAAAAUGUUUUAUAUAUUUCAAUGUCCCUUAGGUUUAUCUUGAUACUAGUAUGAAACAAAGCACACUUUGUAGCUGAGAGCAUGCAUCCAUAUGAGAAGACCAUAAUGCUCAAUUUCCAUAGGCUACUAGGCUGAGAUUAGUUUGGAACAACAUUGUGCAUUUGGGAGCAUUUCCAUUUAUGGAAAUGCAACAAUGCUUAAUCCUGAAGAGUGAAGACUCCCUCAUCAUGGGCAGUAGUAAGUACUGUAUAUAUUAUUUAUUUUAUUUUAUUUACAGCAUUUAUAUUCCGCCCUUCUCACGCCGAAGGGACUCAGGGCGGAUCACAUUACACAUUACACAUAUAGGCAAACAUUCAGUGCCUUUUAACAUAGAACAAAGACAAGACAAACAGGCUCCGAGCGGGCCUCAAACUCAUGACCUCCUGGUCAGAGUGAUUCAUUGCAGUUAAUUGCAGCUGGCAUGCUCUCCCGCCUGCGCCCCAGCCCGGGCCUGUAUAUACUCGAGUAUAAGCCUGUAUAUACUCGAGUAUAAGCCUAGUUUUUCAGCCCCUUUUUAGGGCUGAAAAGGCUCCCCUUGGCUUAUACUCGAGUGAGUGUCCUGGCCGGCUUCUAUUCAGGUCGGCUUAUACUUGAGUAUAUGUGUUAUGGUUGAGCCUUCGGGCUCCGGUAAUAGAAGAAGGGGUCAUAAGAGCUGUUUUUUGUUACUUAUCACACUGAAGUCAAGUGUUUGCCCUGUUCUUUGUUUCCUACGGGCGUUUUUAGUUCUGUAACCUCAAUAAACUGAGUUUUGUUUUACUCGCUGGCGUUCUGUCUGUGACAAUAUAGGUAUUCAGAGUUGGACAGUCUUAUCUUAUUAAAGUCUUAUUAUUAUCUUAAAUUGCAGUUUUAUAUAAAUAUUCAAAAACAUUUAACCUACUGAUGCCUCAAAUUUUAUUAAUACAGUAGAGUCUCACUUAUCCAACACUCGCUUAUCCAACAUUCUGGAUUAUCCAACACAUUUUUGUAGUCAAUGUUUUCAAUACAUCAUGAUAUUUUGGUGCUAAAUUCAUAAAUACAGUAAUUACUACAUAGCAUAACUGCGUAUUGAACUACUUUUUCUGUCAAAUUUGUUGUAUAACAUGAUGUUUUGGUGCUUAAUUUGUAAAAUCAUAACCUAAUUUGAUGUUUUAUAGGCUUUUCCUUAAUCCCUCAUUAUCCAACAUAUUUGCUUAUCCAACAUUCUGUCGGCCCAUUUAUGUUGGAUAAGUGAGACUCUACUGUACUGUAUAUACUCGAGUAUAAGCCUAGUUUUUCAGCCCUUUUUUAGGGCUGAAAAAGCUCCCCUUGACUUAUACUCGAGUGAGUGUCCUGGCCGGCUUCUAUUCAGGUCGGCUUAUACUUGAGUAUAUAGGUAUUCAGAGUUGGACAGUCUUAUCUUAUUAAAGUCUUAUUAUUAUCUUAAAUUACAGUUUUAUAUAAAUAUUCAAAAACAUUUAACCUACUGAUGCCUCAAAUUUUAUUAAUAUCUAUUUUUAUUUUUGUUUUUGAAUUUGACCCAUCGCUGCUGCAUUUCCCACCCUAGUCUUAUACUCGAGUCAAUAAGUUUCCCCAGUUUUUGUGGUAAAAUUAGGUGCCUCAGCCUAUAUUCGGGUCAGCUUAUACUCGAGUAUAUACGGUAAUAGGGUUAGAUAGUUUGAGUUACCUGAAGAGUUCUCAUUGUUUUGUAUACCUAUCCUGCUCCCUUUGUGAUGUAAACUGAGGUCUCUUCUGCAUGGCUUUAGCACAGCAGGUUAAUAACUAAGCUGCAAUAAAUCUUGCCAACAGGAAGGUUGAGAGUUUGAAACCCGGGUCAGGGUGAGCUCCCAACCUUUAGCCCAGCUUCUGCCUACAUAGCAAUUCGAAAACAAAUGUGAUUAGAUAAAUAGGAACCGCAUGAAAGCGGGGAGGUAUUUAGGCUUGGUGUUAUGAUCAGAAAAAAGGAGGAAGUUUACAAAUAAAGAAAGCUCUUCGGAAGGGAGAUGGAGUGACAGCACACACAGCACAGCACAGCCUCCAAAGAUGCCGAAAGAUGGGAAAGCCUACAUAUUUAUUUAUUUAUUUAUUUACAGCAUUUAUAUUCCGCCCUUCUCACCCCGAAGGGGACUCAGGGCGGAUCACAUUACACAUAUAGGCAAACAUUCAAUGCCUUUUUAACAUAGGACAAAGACAAACAACAUAGCUCCGAGUGGGCCUCGAACUCAUGACCUCCUGGUCAGAGUGAUUGACUGCAGUAUACAUAUACCUCUAUCUGUGGUCUGUCUUGUCAUUGCUAUAAUUGACAUCGAAUGUUUGCCAUAUAUGUGUUCU
Anolis carolinensis (green anole) is the source of this 4198-nucleotide long non-coding RNA. NCBI's taxonomy places the organism in Eukaryota, Metazoa, Chordata, Lepidosauria, Squamata, Anolidae. The record is from Ensembl.